Molecule: ribosomal RNA, 425 nt
Filed under: uncultured bacterium
Lineage: Bacteria
Description: bacterial SSU rRNA
Rfam family: Bacterial small subunit ribosomal RNA
Source: RNAcentral
GUGGGGAAUCUUGCGCAAUGGGCGAAAGCCUGACGCAGCCAUGCCGCGUGAAUGAUGAAGGUCUUAGGAUUGUAAAAUUCUUUCACCGGGGACGAUAAUGACGGUACCCGGAGAAGAAGCUCCGGCUAACUUCGUGCCAGCAGCCGCGGUAAUACGAAGGGGGCUAGCGUUGCUCGGAAUUACUGGGCGUAAAGGGCGCGUAGGCGGACAGCUUAGUCAGAGGUGAAAGCCCAGGGCUCAACCUUGGAAUUGCCUUUGAUACUGGCUGUCUUGAGUUUGGGAGAGGUGAGUGGAACUCCGAGUGUAGAGGUGAAAUUCGUAGAUAUUCGGAAGAACACCAGUGGCGAAGGCGACUCACUGGCCCGUUACUGACGCUGAGGCGCGAAAGCGUGGGGAGCAAACAGGAUUAGAAACCCGAGUAGUCC